RNAcentral lists this ribosomal RNA (770 nucleotides) under uncultured bacterium. RNAcentral describes it as "bacterial SSU rRNA". It matches the Rfam family "Bacterial small subunit ribosomal RNA", at positions 8 to 796 of the family's 1533-position model. The record is from RNAcentral.
AGAGUUUGAUCCUGGCUCAGGAUGAACGCUGGCGGCGUGUCUUAGGCAUGCAAGUCGAACGGGCAUGUGGAGCAAUCUAUAUGUUAGUGGCAAACGGGUGCGUAACACAUUGGCAACCUGCCCCAAAGUUCGGAACAACUCCUCGAAAGGGGAGCUAAUACCGGAUGUGGUUCCAGUUCGCAAGGACUGGAAAGAACGGCGUAAGCCGCUUUGGGAGGGGCCUAUGGUCCAUCAGCUAGUUGGUAAGGUAACGGCUUACCAAGGCUUCGACGGAUAGCGGGUGUGAGAGCACGACCCGCCUCACUGGGACUGAGACACUGCCCAGACUUCUACAGAAGGCUGCAGUCGAGAAUCUUCCCCAAUGGCCGAAAGGCUGAGGGAGCGACGCCGCGUGCAGGAAGACGCUCUUCGGAGUGUAAACUGCUUUUCUUCGGGAACAACUCUGAGUGUACCGAAGGAAUAAGGGGCUGCUAACUUCGUGCCAGCAGCAGCGGUAAUACGAAGGCCCCGAGCGUUAUCCGGAUUUAUUGGGCGUAAAGCGUUAAAAGGUGGCUUGGUAAGUAUCUCGUCAAAUCUCAGGGCUUAACCCUGAGGCCGCGAGGUAAACUGCCUGGCUCGAGGGCGGAAGAGGCAAGCGGAACUACCGGUGUAGUGGUAAAAUGCGUUCAUAUCGGUAGGAACACCAAAGGCGAAGGCAGCUUGCUAGUACGAUCCUGACACUAAAUAACGAAAGCGUGGGGAGCGAAUGGGAUUAGAUACCCCCGUAGUCC